Molecule: ribosomal RNA, 497 nt
Filed under: uncultured bacterium
Lineage: Bacteria
Description: partial 16S ribosomal RNA
Rfam family: Bacterial small subunit ribosomal RNA
Source: RNAcentral
GAUGAACGCUGGCGGCGUGCCUAAUACAUGCAAGUCGAGCGAACAGACGAGGAGCUUGCUCCUCUGACGUUAGCGGCGGACGGGUGAGUAACACGUGGAUAACUUACCUAUAAGACUGGGAUAACUUCGGGAAACCGGAGCUAAUACCGGAUAAUAUAUUUAACCGCAUGGUUCAAUAGUGAAAGACGGUUUUGCUGUCACUUAUAGAUGGAUCCGCGCCGCAUUAGCUAGUUGGUAAGGUAACGGCUUACCAAGGCAACGAUGCGUAGCCGACCUGAGAGGGUGAUCGGCCACACUGGAACUGAGACACGGUCCAGACUCCUACGGGAGGCAGCAGUAGGGAAUCUUCCGCAAUGGGCGAAAGCCUGACGGAGCAACGCCGCGUGAGUGAUGAAGGUCUUCGGAUCGUAAAACUCUGUUAUUAGGGAAGAACAAAUGUGUAAGUAACUAUGCACGUCUUGACGGUACCUAAUCAGAAAGCCACGGCUAACUACGUG